RNAcentral lists this transfer RNA (86 nucleotides) under Salmonella enterica subsp. enterica serovar Worthington str. BCH-4719. RNAcentral's name for it is "tRNA-OTHER". Lineage: Bacteria; Pseudomonadati; Pseudomonadota; Gammaproteobacteria; Enterobacterales; Enterobacteriaceae. The record is from RNAcentral.
GGUGGGGUUCCCGAGCGGCCAAAGGGRGCAGACUKUACAAUCUGCCGUCAUCGACUUCGAAGGUUCGAAUCCUUCCCCCACCACCA